Molecule: RNA transcript, 2616 nt
Organism: Camelus dromedarius (Arabian camel)
Lineage: Eukaryota; Metazoa; Chordata; Mammalia; Artiodactyla; Camelidae
Exons: 5
Source: RefSeq, a predicted model, not a curated record
UAGUGACUGGUAAAUAUAGAGCAACAAGUUUAUACUACACAGCACAGGGAACCAUAGUAUCUUGUAGUAGCUCAUGGUGAGAAAGGACAUGAAAAUGUAUACACAUAUGUUCAUGUAUGACUGAAGCAUUGUGCUGUACACCAGAAAUUGACACAUUGUAAACUGACUAUACUUCAAUAAAAUAAAAAUUUAAAAACCUGAACAUUUAAAACGACCCUUGAGAGAAAUGGCCCCAUCUCACCAAAGGCAGGAAAACGCUGGGACACUACGGGGAGGAGGAGGCGAGAUGGCGCUGAGAGGACGGGGGAGCAGGAGGGCAGCUAUAGAGGGGCGCCAGGCAGGGGGCAAACGCGGAGAAGAGGGGACAGUUGCUCUGGCUCAAGGAACGCUUGCCAGCCAGAUGCGUGACGUGGCCCUGUGGCAUUUGGACAGGCCAGGGUGGGGCAGGGCUGAAAAUGGUCCAUGGGCUGACCUGGGCCUCUUUCUGGCUUCCAGCUGGGCUGGGGAUGGAGGGACACGUGUGACCCAGCCUCCCCUAGCCAGUGUGAGCUGCGGAGCAACCUGGGCACAGGCUCAGCCGGGAAGGUCUGAAGCUUGGCCCCUGCCUGGGUAAGCUGUGUGCUUUCUGAAUGCUGGACCUCUCUUGUCAACGUGCCACCCCACGCUGACACACGUACGUACACACACACACACCCUCCCAGUAGAGUGCCUUGUAGGAGAUGCUCCAUGUGGGGCCACCAGGUGACACAAGCUGGCAGUUGGGAAGAGGUACACACUGUGUUUGUUCCAUUUGUACUUUUUGUUUCUUUGGUCAGGUUGGAUAUAUUAUCAUUUGUUAAUGCUCCUCUUCAUUUUUAUGUACUGAAAUUUAUUUAUUUUUUGAAUAGAAAACAUGACGAUUAGGCAAGUUAAAUGGCUGAGAGGUGACACACACACUGGGGUGCAUCAUGAACCUCCUGGAUCUUGGCUAAUGAUGGAAGUGGACACAUGAAGGAUUCCUGGUGUGACAAGUGAAUACCUGUUUGAAUGAUUAUGAAUUGGUAACAAAGCAGAGAAUCAGAAGACAGAUCACAGGUUGCAGAAGACACAAGAUGUAGAAUCCGCAAGCCUGCCCUCCGCCUGCCCCACCUGCUGACUCUACAGAAACCUUCAUGCCGGCACUGAUGGUGACUGCCGUCCCCUUUCCCCCCGGACCCUCACAUUGCCUGUCAUCAUUGCCACCUCCUUAGGCUCCUCUUGGUUGUGACAUUUUCCCAGGCUUCUAUAGGUUUUGAUGACCUUAACAGAUUUGAGGUGCACAGGAUGCCCCUAGUGGAAAUCGUGUAAGGUUUUCGCCAAGAUUAGAGUGAGAUUAUAGGUUUUUGGGAGGAAUAUCACAGGUCAAGGACCAUUUUCAUCACAUCAUGCAAGUUUUCCUCUCUCCAAACAAGUUGUUUGAGGUGUUGGAGCGUGCGUUUUCUGGAAAGAGGUCUUGAAUGGUGGGGGCAGGCACUCAGCUGGGGCUGAGGGUCCCACCUCCCGCUCCGUGAGCAGCUGCAUGGUCCCCCAAGGUGGGCAGGAGUGGUUCCUAGGGCUGGGGGAGACCUCAGCCUGGAGAGAGGGGCCUUCUAGAAGACAUGGAGGACGGUGGAGUCUUCCAAGCCGCGUGGGUUCUGUUCUUCCGCCGCCCCACUUCGUCCCCUGCUCCCAUUCCCGGAUUCCCUCCGCUUGGCACCCAAGGAGCCCCAUCUGUGCAGCCAGCCAGAGACCCUGGCAAACUCCAGCCUAGCAGGCCUGGGGGGUGUUCCAGGCCCCUUAGCCCACAGAGUUGGUGACUGACAGCGUUCCUGCUCGGGGAUCGCUGGUUCGGAGAGGCGCUGGGACACGGCGGCCCCGGGGAUGCGGGUCUGGGCGUGUGGAAGGGGUGGGGCCAGGCAGUAGGAGGCCGCCUUCCCCAGCUCCAUCCCUCCCUCCACCCCGCGACUGGCAGAUGCUGCUCCCGGCACUGCUCCGGUGCCUGGGGCUUCCUCGCUCCCUAAGUCUGAGAUAGAUUCGAGACGACAGGCAAGUCACAACCCAGAGACCCUCUACGUGGAGCUGUGGAUGCUGCCCAUGCUGUUCGGCCUGGAAGGUGAACUGACGGCGCUCCACCAGUGGUUCCGGGUCUUCCUCGUGGUGAGCGCGGUCCCAGGAUGCGGAGUCCUGAUCUUCAUUAUUGGACCGCCCUUCUACUAGUGUUUUACAAUGCUCCUCAUCGUGGCGAUGUCUUUCCAGCUUCGGAUCCGCGACAACCGAGAUAGGGGUUUCAGGGGCCCCAGCAGAGAAUGAUUCCUCCACCCAGGAGCCCGGGAAGCCAGAGCCCGGAGCAGACGGGUGCUAAUUUCUUUGCGGGCCUCGGGCGUUCGGUUUAAGGCUGGGGCCGGUGCUGAGACCCUUAUCCAGACGUCUGCUGGUGGCGGACCUCACCACAGGGACGGCAUUUCUGCUAGAUGGAGUCCAGGAGGCUAAGGCGCCAUGAAAGACGCGAUGACGAUGGGUGUGGGGACCACCAUCCUUAAUUCUGUUACCUUCAAUUUAUUGCAAGCUUGAGCUUUUAAGGAAAGUUUCAGUGGUUUUAUAGUAAAUGAUCUUUAUUGA